RNAcentral lists this ribosomal RNA (421 nucleotides) under uncultured eukaryote. RNAcentral's name for it is "SSU rRNA". It matches the Rfam family "Eukaryotic small subunit ribosomal RNA", at positions 592 to 1018 of the family's 1831-position model. The record is from RNAcentral.
CAAUAGCGUAUCUUGAAACUGUUGCGGCUAAAAGCUCGUAGUUGGAUUUCUGCCGAGGACGACCGGUCUGCCCUCUGGGUGAGUAUCUGGCUCGGCCUGGGCAUCUUCUUGGAGAACGUAUCUGCACUUGACUGUGUGGUGUGGUAUCCAGGACUUUUACUUCGAGGAAAGUAAAAUGUUUCAAGCAGGCAUAUGCUUUGAAUACAUUAGCAUGGAAUAAUAAGAUAGGACCUCGGUUCUAUUUUGUUGGUUUCUAGACCUGAGGUAAUGAUUAAUAGGGAUAGUUGGGGGCAUUCGUAUUUAAGUGUCAGAGGUGAAAUUCUUGGAUUUGUUAAAGACGGAAUGCUGCGAAAGCAUUUUCCAAGGAUGUUUUCAUUGAUAAAGAACGAAAGUUAGGGGAUCGAAGACGAUUAGAUACCGU